This 253-nucleotide unclassified non-coding RNA is filed under the name uncultured Halomonadaceae bacterium. Its description in RNAcentral is "contains 16S-23S intergenic spacer region". It matches the Rfam family "Bacterial small subunit ribosomal RNA", at positions 524 to 776 of the family's 1533-position model. The record is from RNAcentral. Lineage: Bacteria; Pseudomonadati; Pseudomonadota; Gammaproteobacteria; Oceanospirillales; Halomonadaceae.
UACGGAGGGUGCGAGCGUUAAUCGGAAUUACUGGGCGUAAAGCGAGCGUAGGCGGCUAAGUAAGCCGGUUGUGAAAGCACCGGGCUCAACCUGGGAAUGGCAUCCGGAACUGUUUAGCUAGAGUGCAGCAGAGGAAGGUAGAAUUCCCGGUGUAGUGGUGAAAUGCGGAGAGAUCGGGAGGAAUACCAGUGGCGAAGGCGGCCUUCUUGUCUGACACUGACGCUGAGGUGCGAAAGCGUGGGUAGCAAACAGG